UACAGAGGUCUCAAGCGUUGUUCGGAUUCAUUGGGCGUAAAGGGCGCGUAGGCGGCGAGGUAAGUCGGGUGUGAAAUCUCAGAGCUCAACUCUGAAACUGCACUCGAUACUGCUUUGCUAGAGGACUGGAGAGGAGAUUGGAAUUCACGGUGUAGCAGUGAAAUGCGUAGAGAUCGUGAGGAAGACCAGUGGCGAAGGCGGAUCUCUGGACAGUUACUGACGCUGAGGAGCGAAGGCCAGGGGAGCAAACGGG
This 253-nucleotide ribosomal RNA is filed under the name uncultured bacterium. RNAcentral describes it as "partial 16S ribosomal RNA". It matches the Rfam family "Bacterial small subunit ribosomal RNA", at positions 524 to 776 of the family's 1533-position model. The record is from RNAcentral.